RNAcentral lists this non-coding RNA (24 nucleotides) under Rattus norvegicus (Norway rat). The record is from RNAcentral. Lineage: Eukaryota; Metazoa; Chordata; Mammalia; Rodentia; Muridae.
UGAGGAUAUGGUGAAUUAGGUUUU